AUUGAACGCUGGCGGCAUGCCUUACACAUGCAAGUCGAACGGCAGCGCGGGGCAACCUGGCGGCGAGUGGCGAACGGGUGAGUAAUAUAUCGGAACAUACCCUAGAGUGGGGGAUAACGUAGCGAAAGUUACGCUAAUACCGCAUACGCACUAAGGUGGAAAGUGGGGGAUUCGCAAGAACCUCAUGCUCAUGGAGUGGCCGAUAUCUGAUUAGCUAGUUGGUGAGGUAAAGGCUCACCAAGGCAACGAUCAGUAGCUGGUUUGAGAGAACGACCAGCCACACUGGAACUGAGACACGGUCCAGACUCCUACGGGAGGCAGCAGUGGGGAAUUUUGGACAAUGGGGGCAACCCUGAUCCAGCAAUGCCGCGUGAGUGAAGAAGGCCUUCGGGUUGUAAAGGCUCUUUUGUUCUAGGGAAGGAAACGGUGAGAGCUAAUAUCUCUUG
RNAcentral lists this ribosomal RNA (446 nucleotides) under uncultured bacterium. RNAcentral describes it as "bacterial SSU rRNA". It matches the Rfam family "Bacterial small subunit ribosomal RNA", at positions 30 to 471 of the family's 1533-position model. The record is from RNAcentral.